Molecule: unclassified non-coding RNA, 999 nt
Filed under: Hevea brasiliensis (rubber tree)
Lineage: Eukaryota; Viridiplantae; Streptophyta; Magnoliopsida; Malpighiales; Euphorbiaceae
Source: RNAcentral
GUUAGAGAAUCAAAUAGCUCAACAGGCUAGCUCUUCAAAUAGUAAAGCUUUUGCGAAGCUUCCUAGCCAACUUGAGAAUCCAAGGGAGCAGUGCAAUGCUGUUACUUUAAGAAGUGGAAAGGUAAUGGGGGAAGAACACGAAAUUGAAGUAAAGUUGAAAGAAAAGAAAGAUGAGUGUGAGAGUGAAUCCACUUCAACUAAAGCUAAAGCUAGUAAGGAAGCAAAUGAAGAGAAAGAAGAUAAAAAGAAAAUAGAAGAGAAAUAUGUGCCUCCUGCACCGUACAAGCCACCAUUGCCCUUUCCUCAGAGGUUUCAUAAAGCACAAUUAGAUAAGCAGUUUGGGAAAUUCCUUGAAGUUUUGGAGAAGUUGUAUAUCAACAUUCCAUUCACCGAUGUCAUUUCUCAAAUGCCUUCUUAUGCUAAGUUUUUGAGAGAGAUUUUAUCAAAUAAAAGAAGGUUGGAAGAUUAUGAAACUGUUGCACUUACUGAGAAGUGCAGUGCUUUAUUGCAGAACAAGCUCCCACCAAAGCUGAAAGAUCCUGGAAGUUUUUCCAUACCAUGUCACAUUGGAGAAACAAGUAUUGAGAGAGCAUUAUGUGACUUGAGGGCUAGUGUUAGCUUGAUGCCACUUUCCAUAUGUGAGAAGUUAAAGGUUGGAGAUCUAAAGCCCACAACUAUUUCUUUGCAGUUAGCUGACAGAUCUAUAAAGUAUCUAGUUGGGAUUUUAGAGAAUGUGCCAUUAAAAGUUGGAAAGUUUUUCAUUCGAAAGUUUUUCAUUCUAGUGGAUUUUAUUGUACUAGAGAUGGAGGAGGAUGUAAGAACGCCCAUCAUACUUGGAAGGCCAUUUUUAGCCACUGCAGGAGCUAGUAUAGAUGUAAAGAAUGGGAAAUUGAAGUUGACAGUGGGGGAGGAGGAAAUAGAGUUUAAUUUAUUCCAACAUUCUAAGGAACCAGCUGUGAUGAAUUCUUGUUAUAAGGUAGAUGUUAUAGAGCAUGAUGC